This is a non-coding RNA of Lachnospiraceae bacterium JC7, 115 nucleotides long. Lineage: Bacteria; Bacillati; Bacillota; Clostridia; Lachnospirales; Lachnospiraceae. The record is from Rfam.
UGAUAUAAGUGUCAUAAGUCUUCCUCCACUUGUGCUUGCACAAAAGUGGAGGAUAGACUUCAUGACACGCCCCACAUGACUGGUGGCAGAUUCCGCAGGAAUCUGGCAUGUAGCG